CCGAGGAGGUCGCCAAACCCUCCGACACCGGCUCUGCCCACUGUCUGCAGACCCAGCUCGGGGCGCAGUAGUCGGGGCAGCUUGCCCCUAUGGUACAGAGCCCCAGGGGCGGCCCAGGAAGCGUGCUGCCACCGCACGCCAUAUGGAGGCGCCAGGAAAAAGAAGGAAGGAGAAAAUCGAUCCCGAGCCGGAUCCAGGAGCAGGUCCCGAUCCCAGUCCUCUUCAGGCUGCAUGUAGUCGUUGGUCUGCUGGGAAUCAUAAUGGUCCAUGAUGGUGCGUGCGUGCUAGGAGCUGGAUUUCUUCCUCCACCUUCUCUCCAGGCGACGGCGGCUGCUGCCCGGGUGUGGGGAGGGUGUCGGCAGGGCUGGGCUGGGCUGGGCUGGGCCGGGCUGGGCUGGGCUGGGCUGGCGGGGCCGGGCUCGCUCCCCUGCGCCCGCUUCCGCCGCGGCUCUGUUCGCAGAGGCUGCUGCUGCCGGCGGCGGCUGGAGCUCGCGGACUGCCUUCCUGGGGCGCGCGCUCGGACCUAAUCUCCACGCACACUGCUCUCAGUGAACACUCGCGCUGCGGGAGCAGAGGCGGGCGGGGGCGGGGAGAAGGGGCAGAGCCCUCCCGAGGUUCUCCAUUGGCCAGGCCGAGUUGCCCAAACUUCCCCCCAGCGCCUCUCAUUGGGAAUUCCUGGCAUCCGUCAGGCGGGUCUCUGUGCAUAUAGGUGGACUGGGCGGCCCCCUCCGGGCG
Molecule: long non-coding RNA, 735 nt
Filed under: Mus musculus (house mouse)
Lineage: Eukaryota; Metazoa; Chordata; Mammalia; Rodentia; Muridae
Description: predicted gene, 47766
Source: RNAcentral